This 82-nucleotide small RNA is filed under the name Flavobacterium dankookense. Its description in RNAcentral is "Flavobacterium sp. ARSA-19 Flavo-1 RNA". It matches the Rfam family "Flavo-1 RNA". The record is from Rfam by way of RNAcentral. Lineage: Bacteria; Pseudomonadati; Bacteroidota; Flavobacteriia; Flavobacteriales; Flavobacteriaceae.
GUUUAGCCCAGAUUGAAACGGCAUCCUUUUUAUCUCGUUUUCAAAACGAGAUGAAAAGAUAUAGUGUAAAGCUGGAAAUUGC